Molecule: ribosomal RNA, 292 nt
Filed under: uncultured bacterium
Lineage: Bacteria
Description: partial 16S ribosomal RNA
Rfam family: Bacterial small subunit ribosomal RNA
Source: RNAcentral
GUGCCAGCAGCCGCGGUAAGACGAACCGAGCGAACGUUGUUCGGAAUCACUGGGCUUAAAGGGCGCGUAGGCGGGCUGCCAAGUCUGGGGUGAAAUCCCGCGGCUCAACCGUGGAACUGCCUCAGAUACUGGCGGCCUCGAGGGAGAUAGGGGCGAGCGGAACUAAUGGUGGAGCGGUGAAAUGCGUUGAUAUCAUUAGGAACUCCGGUGGCGAAGGCGGCUCGCUGGAUCUUUUCUGACGCUGAGGCGCGAAAGCUAGGGGAGCAAACGGGAUUAGAUACCCCUGUAGUCC